AGUGAACGCUGGCGGUAGGCCUAACACAUGCAAGUCCAACGGCAGCACAGUAAGAGCUUGCUCUUACGGGUGGCGAGUGGCGGACGGGUGAGGAGUACAUCGGAAUCUACUUUUUCGUGGGGGAUAACGUAGGGAAACUUACGCUAAUACCGCAUACGACCUACGGGUGAAAGCAGGGGAUCUUCGGACCUUGCGCGAUUGAAUGAGCCGAUGUCGGAUUAGCUAGUUGGCGGGGUAAAGGCCCACCAAGGCGACGAUCCGUAGCUGGUCUGAGAGGAUGAUCAGCCACACUGGAACUGAGACACGGUCCAGACUCCUACGGGAGGCAGCAGUGGGGAAUAUUGGACAAUGGGCGCAAGCCUGAUCCAGCCAUACCGCGUGGGUGAAGAAGGCCUUCGGGUUGUAAAGCCCUUUUGUUGGGAAAGAAAAGCAGCAGGUUAAUACCCCGCUGUUCUGACGGUACCCAAAGAAUAAGCACCGGCUAACUUCGUG
Molecule: ribosomal RNA, 492 nt
Filed under: uncultured bacterium
Lineage: Bacteria
Description: partial 16S ribosomal RNA
Rfam family: Bacterial small subunit ribosomal RNA
Source: RNAcentral